Molecule: long non-coding RNA, 386 nt
Filed under: Mustela putorius furo (domestic ferret)
Lineage: Eukaryota; Metazoa; Chordata; Mammalia; Carnivora; Mustelidae
Description: lncRNA (ENSMPUG00000029232.1)
Source: RNAcentral
AGGAUGCAGAGGUGGAGCAGGCACAGGGGAGCUGGAAGAGAUCCUGGACUGCUGUCCUACUUUGGAACAGAAGCAGGUGUGCCAGUCUUAGGUCAGAGGUGCUUAUCCCCACCUGACAACACUUCUCUGAUCUGGCUCCAUGAGACCCAAUGUUUUGAACAAUAGCGUCUGAGUCAGCCAUGCAGCUUGUCACAGGAUGUCCAUGUUCUGAGAAAGCAGCAGGUACAUUGGACACUUGUCAGGACUGGGGGUAAGACUUCUUUUUAACCCAAAACCUCCUGGGCUUUUCUUUUUCCUCUAGUUGAGCCAUGAAGUAAAAUUUAAGUAGCUGUCAGCAUUCUGGAUUUGGUGCAAGAUUACUUAGUUUCCCCGAAGGCAGAACAUUG